RNAcentral lists this ribosomal RNA (330 nucleotides) under uncultured bacterium. RNAcentral describes it as "bacterial SSU rRNA". It matches the Rfam family "Bacterial small subunit ribosomal RNA", at positions 570 to 898 of the family's 1533-position model. The record is from RNAcentral.
CGCAGGCGGAUUGUUAAGUAGGACGUGAAAUCUCCUGGCCCAACUGGGAGGGGUCGCCCUAAACUGGCAGUCUUGAGGACGGCAGAGGUUGGUGGAAUUCCUGGUGUAGUGGUGAAAUGCGUAGAGAUCAGGAGGGACACCGGUGGCGAAGGCGGCCAACUGGGCCGUCUCUGACGCUGAGGCGCGAAAGCUCGGGGAGCGAACGGGAUUAGAUACCCCGGUAGUCCGAGCCCUAAACGAUGUGCACUAGGUGUUCGUGGUAUCGACCCCACGGGUGCCGGAGCUAACGCGAUAAGUGCACCGCCUGGGGAGUACGGCCGCAAGGUUAAA